AGCUUCUAAGUGAACGCAAGUGCUGUGCAUUCAACGUCAGACCGCUCAAGAAAGAUCCCCAAACUCAUUUCCUGCAAGUGGGAAGGGAGAUGCGGUUGGAGGGAAUUGGGGGGAUGGCAAACCCCACAAGGAAUGAGGUUGGUACCCAAUUAGCUUCUUUUCAUAUUAUGGGUUUAGGGAGGCCAAGAAAUCCCAGGAUGGCUCCAGUCAUUUUCACAUUGGCAAAGAGGAACAAUAUCGCUUUUUAAUAGUGUGAGGUCGGAGGAAAAAAGGGGCAGAGGGAGGAGAGGGGAGAGCAAGCCAAAGGAGGUUGUGAAUGCAGAGAAUUCCCUGGGCAUAGGCAUUUUUGUGAAAAAGAGAAAGAAAGGAGAUUAAAAAAUUAAUAACUUGAAUGUGUGAUCAAUAAAAAUAAUUAUCAUCUUGCAGCCCAUUUUUCGUACAGCACUCAGUGGCCUGAGAGUAAUUGCUGACAUGAAGAGCAAAGCACUUGAAAUGCCCAAUUACCAAAAAUCCUCUCUUUUAAAAAGGUUUUUCUCUGCAAAUCUCGAUGUGUUUUUCCUUCCUGUCUUCCACACUCCACCGUUUGGUGGAAAGACAGUUGAGGAGCUAAAUAUAUAUUAAUCAGAACUCUUGGGGCCGGCAUCGGUGAGAUACAAUUAUACCAAACGGAUGCCAUUGCAGGCUGAUAGCUUCAUUUAAAUUCCUGAAUAAAACAUGAAAUAUCUUUAAUGAGAAAUGAACAGAGUUGUCAGGAGGGAGUAGUUCUGGUAUUGUUACCAGUUGAGAUACAGAAGAUGAAGACAUAAAGUGAUACCUUCCAUGUUAUAUAGAGUUGACGGCUGUUGGAAAACACAGAUCCCUCUUCCGAGAUGUCACGCGGGCCACAAAACAGAAAAACAGCAGAGCAUAGCGGCCCCAUCUCCUCCCAGGGAGCUGCAGGGUUUGAGCUUCUGUGCAUCUGCAGAAACAAACACAGUCUGCGUGCGGCCAGGAAAAGGGAUCCUCGCAAACUGCUUUGUGACAGUACACACGUGCCUCUCCGACCAGCAACGCACUGCUGCUUGCGCAGCAGGAGUUGGGUUUGGCUCCACACCCAGCACGAAUUUUGUUGAGAGCGUGAGAGGAUCAAGACAGCCACAUCAACAAGAAAACUGGAUGAAAAACGAGGACACUAGGAGACAGACUGGUACCCUUGCAGUGACACAUUGGAGUAGGUACCCAUUGUGGCGUGGAUGUGCCUUAUCCCCCAGGGCUCAUGAACUGCAAGCGUGGUCCCCAGUGUGGUAUCGUUGAGUGACAGUGAACUGUUCAGAGAUGGGGACCAGGGCUAUAUGCUUGGGCCUUGGGGAUACAAACUGUGGAAGAAAGGAGGUACUUUUAUGGCAUCACAGUUAGUUCUCAAGAGCAUUGGUUGCUGUAAAAGAAGCAAGCCUGGCCCCUGUUUGUCUCUGACUUCCUGUCUUGCGAUGAUGUGGCUCCAGGAUGUGCCCCCACCUUUGUGAGCCAUUGCUGGUUGUGCUUGCUACAGCUGCGCAAGAACCAGCACCAUGCCCUUGAGCCUUCAGGACAGUGAACUGAACAUUUUUUCUUCCAGAAGUGCCCAGCCCCAAGUAUUCUGUUAUAGCAAUGGAAAAUUCGAUAAUGCAGUUGUCCAAAUAGAAGUACUUUUGUUUGAAAUAAUUUAAAAUAAAGGAAAAUGUCUUUAUUAAUGAUUUGUGCCU
Molecule: long non-coding RNA, 1721 nt
Organism: Oryctolagus cuniculus (rabbit)
Lineage: Eukaryota; Metazoa; Chordata; Mammalia; Lagomorpha; Leporidae
Source: Ensembl